ACAGUGUUGUGGUACUAAAAGCACAAGCGUCUGUAACUCUGGGCAAUGAGGCACAUCGAGAGUUUGCUGAGAAGACUGUGAAGCAUAAAGAAGAAAGUUUUUCCUACUCUUCCUCAUGUGUCCAACACGAAAUUUGCUGUUCAAUUUUCACAGAACUAGAAGGUGAAGUUACAAAGGUAUAUAGAAGGUACACAGAAUCAAAAAAGAUUAUAAAAGAAGGCAAGAGUUUUGUUAGUGACGUCCUGUUUCCUCUGAAGAGUAAUAGUUGGAAUCAAAGAGUCAACGCAAUGAACUGUCACUUACUGCUGCGUUUUAUGUUGGGAAUUCCUCUCCUAUGGCCUUGUCUUGGAGCAACAGAAAACUCUCAAAGAAAGAAAGUCCAGCAGCCAGUGCGAUCUCAUUUGAGAGUGAAGCGUGGCUGGGUGUGGAACCAAUUUUUUGUACCAGAGGAAAUGAAUAAGACUAGUCAUCACAUCGGCCGGCUAAGAUCUGAUUUAGACAAUGGAAACAAUUCUUUCCAGUACAAGCUUUUGGGAGCUGGAGCUGGAAGUACUUUUAUCAUUGAUGAAAGAACAGGUGACAUAUAUGCCAUACAGAAGCUUGAUAGAGAGGAGCGAUCCCUCUACACCUUAAGAGCCCAGGUAAUAGACAUCACUACUGGAAGGGCUGUGGAACCUGAGUCUGAGUUUGUCAUCAAAGUUUCGGAUAUCAAUGACAAUGAACCAAAAUUCCUAGAUGAACCUUAUGAGGCCAUUGUACCAGAGAUGUCUCCAGAAGGAACAUCAGUUAUCCAGGUGACAGCAAGUGAUGCUGACGAUCCUUCAAGUGGUAAUAAUGCUCGUCUCCUCUACAGCUUACUUCAAGGCCAGCCAUAUUUUUCUGUUGAACCAACAACAGGAGUCAUAAGAAUAUCUUCUAAAAUGGAUAGAGAACUGCAAGAUGAGUAUUGGGUAAUCAUUCAAGCCAAGGACAUGAUUGGUCAGCCAGGAGCGUUGUCUGGAACAACAAGUGUAUUAAUUAAACUUUCAGAUGUUAAUGACAAUAAGCCUAUAUUUAAAGAAAGUUUAUACCGCUUGACUGUCUCUGAAUCUGCACCCACUGGGACUUCUAUAGGAACAAUCAUGGCAUAUGAUAAUGACAUAGGAGAGAACGCAGAAAUGGAUUACAGCAUUGAAGAGGAUGAUUCGCAAACAUUUGACAUUAUUACUAAUCAUGAAACUCAAGAAGGAAUAGUUAUAUUAAAAAAGAAAGUGGAUUUUGAGCACCAGAACCACUAUGGUAUUAGAGCAAAAGUUAAAAACCAUCAUGUUGCUGAGCAGCUCAUGAAGUACCACACUGAAGCUUCCACCACUUUCAUUAAGAUCCAGGUGGAAGAUGUUGAUGAGCCUCCUUUUUUCCUCCUUCCAUAUUAUAUAUUUGAAAUUUUUGAAGAAACCCCACAGGGAUCAUUUGUAGGCAUGGUGUCUGCCACAGACCCAGACAAUAGGAAAUCUCCUAUCAGGUAUUCUAUUACUAGGAGCGAAGUGUUCAAUAUCGAUGAUAAUGGUACAAUCACUACAACUAACUCACUGGAUCGUGAAAUCAGUGCUUGGUACAACCUAAGUAUUACAGCCACAGAAAAAUACAAUAUAGAACAGAUCUCUUCGAUCCCAGUGUAUGUGCAAGUUCUUAACAUCAAUGAUCAUGCUCCUGAGUUCUCUCAAUACUAUGAGACAUAUGUUUGUGAAAAUGCAGGCUCUGGUCAGGUAAUUCAGACUAUCAGUGCAGUGGAUAGAGAUGAAUCCAUAGAAGAGCACCAUUUUUACUUUAAUCUAUCUGUAGAAGACACUAACAAUUCAAGUUUUACAAUCAUAGAUAAUCAAGAACUGGUUUUAACCUUCAAGAAGAGCCUGUCUUCUACAUCUCCAUCUUAAUUGCUGACAAUGGAAUCCCGUCACUUACAAGUACAAACACCCUUACCAUCCAUGUCUGUGACUGUGGUGACAGUGGGAGCACACAGACCUGCCAGUACCAGGAGCUUGCACUUUCCAUGGAAUUCAAGACAGAAGUCAUCAUUGCUAUUCUCAUUUGCAUUAUGAUCAUAUUUGGGUUUAUUUUUUUGACUUUGGGUUUAAAACAACGGAGAAAAGAGAUUCUGUUUCCUGAGAAAAGUGAAGAUUUCGGAGAGAACAUAUUCCAGUAUGAUGAUGAAGGGGGUGGAGAAGAAGAUACAGAGGCCUUUGAUAUAGCAGAGCUGAGGAGCAGUACCGGAAUGCGGGAACGCAAGACUCGGAAAACCACAAGCGCUGAGAUCAGGAGCCUAUACAGGCAGUCUUUGCAAGUUGGCCCCGACAGUGCCAUAUUCAGGAAAUUCAUUCUGGAAAAGCUCGAAGAAGCUGAUACUGAUCCGUGUGCCCCUCCUUUUGAUUCCCUCCAGACCUACGCUUUUGAGGGAACAGGGUCAUUAGCUGGAUCCCUGAGCUCCUUAGAAUCAGCAGUCUCUGAUCAGGAUGAAAGCUACGAUUACCUUAACGAGUUGGGACCUCGCUUUAAAAGGUUAGCAUGCAUGUUUGGUUCUGCAGUGCAGUCAAAUAAUUAGGGCUUUUUACCAUCAAAAUUUUUAAAAGUGCUAAUGUGUAUUUGAACCAAAUGGUAGGUAGUCUUAAAGAGUUUUGUGCCCUGGCUCUAUGGUGGGAAAAGCCCUAGUCUAUGGAGUUUUCUGAUUUCCCUGGAGUAAAUACCCCAUGAUUAUUUUAAGCUACCUACAUGCUCUCAUUGAACAGAGAUGUGGGGAGAAAUGUAAGCAAUCAACUCACAGGCAUCAAUACAACCAGAUUUGAAGUAAAAUAAUUUAGGGAGAUAUUAAAAGUAGAUGAGAGGACAUAAGAUGUAGUCAAUCCUUAUGCGAUUAUAUCAUUAUUUACUUAGGAAAGAGUAAAAAUACCAAACAAGAGAAAAUUUAAAGGAGCAAAAAUUUGCAAGUCAAAUAGAAAUGUACAAAUCGAGAGAACAUUUACAUUUCUAUCAUACUGACAUGAAAAUUGAAAAUGUAUAGUCAGAGAAAUUUUCAUGAAUUAUUCCAUGAAGUAUUGUUUUCUUUAUUUAAAAAAGAAUGCUAGGUAAUCUUGGUAGAAAACUAGAAAGUAUGAUAAACAACAGUUGGAGGAAUCCAUGGAAAAUAGAUGAGAAAAAGGCUUUCUGGAGAUCACAGAAAUUUUAUAUGAAUAAAAGUCUUAUAAAACCAGCUCUGGCAUAUGACUAAAAUAUUCCUCUACUAUUUUUCAAUGUCAUCUAAUGCAAAUGCUCAACCUUUUUAAAUGGUUAACGUGAGAAAGGCACUGAAUUAAGGUAUCUUAGUGUUAUUUUAUUUACUCAAUUUUCAUCUUUCACAGUGUAAGAAUAAAAUGUUUAUGUGGUUAAGUUCCUGAUACUAUGUAGAGAUAAACUUUAAAACUUUAACACCUAGGAUAAUGUGGGUGAUUACAUAUAUGUUUAAAAACAUUUACCUCAUAUGGAAAGCAGGUUUCUAACUAAGAUGCCAUGAUUCAUUAUAGUUUGAUAUUUUAAAACCUUUGCCAAGAGCACUCUUUAAAACUGAUUUCAAAUUUGAACAGAUACUUGGUGUAUAUUAAUUAAUCAGAGAUAUAUGGUAUAAAUUUGUAUUAUUUUUGAUAUUACAACUUUGUGUUAAAAAAGGAAAAUAUAUUUAGGUGUUUGUCAUAGAUUUUUUUCAUAUGCAACUCAAAACACAUUCUUAUCAUGUCAAAAUACAAUAGCAAAAUACAAGUCAAUAUUUACUCAUAAUGAAAUGCAAACUUUAUUAAACUGGUGGAAAAUGUGGAAAAAUUUAAGUAAAUUUUUAUCUCUACUAAAAGUUAUUUAGACAACUUAAAGGAAUACUGGAUUCAAACUUCAGUUACUACUCACUUUAAAUAUUAUGAUCAACUGAGCUGACUGUUACCAUUCAUGGAAUAAAACAUGAUACAACUCUCAGUAUUUCCCUUUCUGUUAAGAACUUGGAAUAUGACUGAUGCUUCAGUGUCAUUUUUUAAUUACUGGAUAUAAAAUUAGAUGCAAUAGUUACAUUUGUUGUAGCCUUAAGAAGGAAAUCAAUGCUAAGCUGUUGGGCAUAAAGCUUUAUGGUAAUGUUAGAUAACAAGUUAAUAAAACACUUUUAUUUUAAUUGACCUUUUAAGAAUGGCCUUUAUUAUUCUAUCCAAAUCAAGGUAGAUUUCAAAAUUUAUAGUUUGAGCAGGAAGAAAGUAGUGAAUACAAAAUUCUUAAAAUUGGUUCAUAUGAUCUUUUUUUAUUAAUAGCAUGUGAGACUAAGCUGAACCAAAUUGGCCAUACAUGUUAAAUCAAAUAAUUUGAGUAAUUUUGAACUAUUGAUGAAGUAGUUAAAUGGUUAUAAUAUAUUUUAUUGGUACUUUGAAAUUUAAACAUCUAUAUCACAUAAUAAAUAAAGUUUUUCAUCAAUCUGAAACAGGCACCAUUAAGUUGGUGACACAAAUAUUAUCAUUUCACAAAAGCUUGAAAAAACCAGAUUUGAAGUAAAAUAAUUUAGGAAGAUAUUAAAAGUGGAUGAGAGGACAUAAGAUGUAGUCAAUUCUUAUGCAAUGAUAUCAUUAUUUACUUAGGAAAGAGUAAAAAUACCAAACAAGAGAAAAUUUAAAGGAGCAAAAAUUUGCAAAUCAAAUAGAAAUGUACAAAUGGAGAGAACAUUUACAUUUCUAUCAUACUGACAUGAACAUUGAAAACGUAUAGUCAGAGAACUUUUCAUGAAUUAUUCCAUGAAGUAUUGUUUCCUUUAUUUAAAAAAGAAUGCUAGGUAAUCUCAGUAGAAAACUAAAAAGUAUGAUAAACAACAGAUGGAAGAAUCCAUGGAAAAUAGACGAGAAAAAGGCUUUCUGGGGAUCACAGAAAUGUUGUAUGAAUAAAAGCCUUAUAAACAAUGAAUACAUUUGGAUAAACAACUCAUUAAAAUGCACAUUAAUGGAAUACUUAUACAAAUAUUUUUAAUACUUGUGUCCAGUGGCACUAAAGAGAUAUAUUAAAAUAGAUCCUGGUUGAGUUGAUGAUAAGAUUGUCAAUCAUAGGAUACACAGGGAAAGCACAGACAUGAUUGCACAUCUGUUUGGUAGUCUAAAAUAUGUUCCUUUUAACCACAUCAAAAGAUACUAUCUGAUUCUAAUACAGAAGUUGCAACUUCCUAGGAAUUAUACUUUGUAUUAUUUUCAAUAAUUAUUUUAUGUUUUUGCAUCACAUGGGUGUUGCAAGAACACAGCUCUUAAGCUAAAAAGGCAUUACCUUAAGAAUUUAUUUUUGUAAAUUUUAAUAAACUCUAAAUUAAUGCAAAAUAUUUAUGAAAAUAGCACAGCUUCACAUUAAUACCCACAGUACUUCAAUAUCUCCUUUAGUUGACUCACAGCUUUGUAUGUAAGCUUUAAAUUUUUAAUGGUAAAAACAAGAAAAUUAGGACUAGUGAACUUCUAGUUGUUCACUCAGUGCAUGUGCUUGAGCUUAACAGACCUUUGUUUGAAUUAGUUGCUUUCAAUUAAACGAACGUAUAUUUGUUAAACUGCUUAAUCUUUCCAGACCUCACUUUGUAAAAUGAGGUCCAAUCACCUAUUUCACAUGGUUGUUAUGAAGAAUUAAUUAUAAGAUACGUAAAACCAGCAGCACCAAUAGUGCCUGACAAAAUAUAACUGCUCAAUAAAUAACAGUGAAUUAUUAUAACAACAGCUGAUGUUAUUCUGUUAGAACCCAUGAUCUGUUUCUUUUCCAAUUCUGAGUGAUCUCAACAGCUUCACAGCACAUUGAAAAUAAAAAUCAACUUCCUCACCUUCCCUAUGGGCCAUGGACUUUCCCAUCUCUACCCACUUGUGCAGUUUCUCCUCUUUCCUCUCUCCUCCUCAGUUACUAAAGCAAUCUUCCUUCAAACACUUCUAUUUUCCAUUACCUCACUUCAUUCAGGUCGGUGAUCAGCUGCAACUUCCUCAGAAAGACCACUGCCAUUUCUGGUGACCCUGGCUUUGUCUUGCUUUGUAUUAAAUUACUCAGCUACCUGGUAUUAUUGUUGUCCUUAUUGCUUAUUAGAAUGUAACCCUUAAUGGCAAGAAAUUAUCAGUUUUGUUCAUUUAUCAUUGUGUAAAAAUGUUUCUAGCACACAGAAAGUGACCAAUAAAUAUUUCUGGAAUUAAUGUAGUAAUGAAUCCAAUCUAUUUUACUUAGUCACUUGUGGAAAUUCUUUUGGUUUCCAUUGACUAUUUUUAUAGAAUAUUAAUAUGGAAUUAAAGUAUUUUUCAAAA
Molecule: RNA transcript, 6287 nt
Organism: Nomascus leucogenys (northern white-cheeked gibbon)
Lineage: Eukaryota; Metazoa; Chordata; Mammalia; Primates; Hylobatidae
Gene: CDH19
Gene name: cadherin 19
Exons: 12
Source: RefSeq, a predicted model, not a curated record